GUACAUAUUAAAUUUAACUAUAGAGGCUAGUGAUUAGCAUGUGUGAAGCCCUGGGUUUAAUUCCCAGCGCAAAGGGAAAAAAGAGUUGAAGAAGAAUUAGAUAAUAUAGAGGGAGAGGCAAAAACUAUCUUUAUAGCACUGUUAUGGAGUAAAAAGCCAGAGAAAUUAUCACUUUUCCCCCAAAUUAUAAGAAAGUACUAUGGAGAUAAACCAAUUCUUCACAUAGGUUUGAUAAAGAAAUAAGUAUUUAGAAGAUAAUUUACAGGUUACAGUAUCUUUUCAUACAUGGCCAUCUUCAGAGUGUUCCCAUGAUAUAGGUGUCAUUUUCUUGUCUUAACAGAAUAAAAACUAAUGUUCCUAGAGGUCAUAAUUAGCCCCCAAAACAAGUUUCAAAUAUAGGUUUUGCUGAAGUUUUGCAUGGUAAGAGGAAAAGAUCUGUGCUUUGGCAUCAUACAUACAUGGGUUUGGUGCCUGGUACUGUUCAGUAUUGUGCUACUUUAUUUCUUAAAAUUUUCUCACGGGGACAGGGAUUUAGCUCAGUGGUUUCGUCGCCUGCUGUGCAAGUGCAAGGACCUGAGUUUGAUUCCCGGUACCAAAAAAAAAAUUUUCUCUCAAUUGAACCCCAUUGACUUUCAGUUUCAUCAUCAGCAAAAUGGCAGUGUCCACCCUUAUAAAGUCAACAUUGGAUACAGAGAGAGAUUAAAAUGGCAGAGUACAGACCAGCAGCAAAUUACAGCCUUUUUGGGACCUAGAAUUGAGACAUCUACAAAAACAGAAACUUAGCGAAGAGAAAAAUAAAUAGCCCUUCAGGAAUCAAGUAAGAAAACUAGAAACCACAAAGAAACUAGUGAAACUGAGGACAACACAGAGAAAAGAACUAAGCAGUCUGGAAGACCAACUCCAGCUCCCGGGAAGGAGGUCCUGUGUCUGCAAGCACAAGUGGUGCUGUGGAUCAAGCCCCCAGAAGAAGGUUGGACACUAACUAGACUCUCAAACAUUACUCUGAAUAGGUUGAAGAGGGGUUUAAACACCAUAUCAUCAAAGACAGAAUCUAAAAAGAUCUCCAUGGUAACAGAAUUUCUCUACCCUAACAGAUCCUCACCCCACAGUGCAAAAAAAUAGAAACAUGAGAAAGUAAGGCAACAAGAUACCUCCAAAAACUCCUACCUACACAAAAGCUGAUCUCAGGAACCCUGAAGUAGAGGAAACUAUAAGCAAAAAACUCAAAACCCAAAUGGUUAAAAUGUUUGAAGAGAUAAAAAGAAGAAACAUACAGGUAUUCCUUGUUUAACAACCUACCUAUUAGGACUUACAACCCACCACUUGGACUUAUGAUCCAUGUCUUUUUGUACAGUUCUAUACAUCAUUAUAGAGCCUCAAUGGUUUUUUUUGUUGUACAGUACACCGUGUUUAUACAGCACUAUAAUUUUUGCUGAAUGUACUGCG
This 1446-nucleotide long non-coding RNA is filed under the name Heterocephalus glaber (naked mole-rat). RNAcentral's name for it is "lncRNA (ENSHGLG00000036028.1)". Lineage: Eukaryota; Metazoa; Chordata; Mammalia; Rodentia; Bathyergidae. The record is from RNAcentral.